Molecule: ribosomal RNA, 465 nt
Filed under: uncultured bacterium
Lineage: Bacteria
Description: partial 16S ribosomal RNA
Rfam family: Bacterial small subunit ribosomal RNA
Source: RNAcentral
GACGAACGCUGGCGGCGUGCUUAACACAUGCAAGUCGAACGGAAAGGCCCCCUUGUGGGGUACUCGAGUGGCGAACGGGUGAGUAACACGUGAGUAACCUACCCUUGACUUUGGGAUAACUUCAGGAAACUGGGGCUAAUACCGGAUAGGAGCUCCUGCUGCAUGGUGGGGGUUGGAAAGUUUCGGCGGUUGGGGAUGGACUCGCGGCUUAUCAGCUUGUUGGUGGGGUAGUGGCUCACCAAGGCUUUGACGGGUAGCCGGCCUGAGAGGGUGACCGGCCACAUUGGGACUGAGGUACGGCCCAGACUCCUACGGGAGGCAGCAGUGGGGAAUAUUGCACAAUGGGCGGAAGCCUGAUGCAGCAACGCCGCGUGCGGGAUGACGGCCUUCGGGUUGUAAACCGCUUUCGCCUGUGACGAAGCGUGAGUGACGGUAAUGGGUAAAGAAGCACCGGCUAACUACGUG